UACGGAGGAUCCAAGCGUUAUCCGGAAUCAUUGGGUUUAAAGGGUCCGUAGGCGGUUUAAUAAGUCAGUGGUGAAAGCCCAUCGCUCAACGGUGGAACGGCCAUUGAUACUGUUAAACUGAAUUAUUAGGAAGUAACUAGAAUAUGUAGUGUAGCGGUGAAAUGCUUAGAGAUUACAUGGAAUACCAAUUGCGAAGGCAGGUUACUACUAAUGAUGACGCUGAUGGACGAAAGCGUGGGUAGCGAACAG
RNAcentral lists this ribosomal RNA (249 nucleotides) under uncultured bacterium. Its description in RNAcentral is "partial 16S ribosomal RNA". It matches the Rfam family "Bacterial small subunit ribosomal RNA", at positions 524 to 775 of the family's 1533-position model. The record is from RNAcentral.